Molecule: ribosomal RNA, 253 nt
Filed under: uncultured bacterium
Lineage: Bacteria
Description: partial 16S ribosomal RNA
Rfam family: Bacterial small subunit ribosomal RNA
Source: RNAcentral
UACAGAGGGGGCAAGCGUUGUUCGGAAUUACUGGGCGUAAAGGGCGCGUAGGCGGCCUUCUAAGUCGAACGUGAAAUCCCCGGGCUCAACCCGGGAACUGCAUCCGAUACUGGAAGGCUUGAAUCCGGGAGAGGGAUGCGGAAUUCCAGGUGUAGCGGUGAAAUGCGUAGAUAUCUGGAGGAACACCGGUGGCGAAGGCGGCAUCCUGGACCGGCAUUGACGCUGAGGCGCGAAAGCCAGGGGAGCAAACGGG